GAUGAACGCUGGCGGCGUGCCUAAUACAUGCAAGUCGAGCGAACAGACGAGGAGCUUGCUCCUCUGACGUUAGCGGCGGACGGGUGAGUAACACGUGGAUAACCUACCUAUAAGACUGGGAUAACUUCGGGAAACCGGAGCUAAUACCGGAUAACAUGUUGAACCGCAUGGUUCAACAGUGAAAGACGGUCUUGCUGUCACUUGUAGAUGGAUCCGCGCCGCAUUAGCUAGUUGGUAAGGUAACGGCUUACCAAGGCAACGAUGCGUAGCCGACCUGAGAGGGUGAUCGGCCACACUGGAACUGAGACACGGUCCAGACUCCUACGGGAGGCAGCAGUAGGGAAUCUUCCGCAAUGGGCGAAAGCCUGACGGAGCAACGCCGCGUGAGUGAAGAAGGUCUUCGGAUCGUAAAACUCUGUUAUUAGGGAAGAACAAAUGUGUAAGUAACUAUGCACGUCCUGACGGUACCUAAUCAGAAAGCCACGGCUAACUACGUG
RNAcentral lists this ribosomal RNA (497 nucleotides) under uncultured bacterium. Its description in RNAcentral is "partial 16S ribosomal RNA". It matches the Rfam family "Bacterial small subunit ribosomal RNA", at positions 28 to 507 of the family's 1533-position model. The record is from RNAcentral.